This 181-nucleotide long non-coding RNA is filed under the name Calidris pugnax (ruff). Its description in RNAcentral is "lncRNA (ENSCPUG00000018018.1)". Lineage: Eukaryota; Metazoa; Chordata; Aves; Charadriiformes; Scolopacidae. The record is from RNAcentral.
CCUGGACAAGCUCCACUCUUUCAUGGCUGCAGGAUGGUAGCUGCUUCUCUGUCAAGGCAGGAGCCAGUCACUGCCCGAUUUUCUUACUGCCCUGGAAUUCCCCUGAGCUGAAAUGCUGCAUGUUUUCCUGCUACGCUGUGCACUGGGAAGCUCAUCAACUGGGCAGACUACCAAACUGGCA